GUAACAGCCAGAGCUAGAGACUCCGGCCUGGGGUUCUGGCUCUGUCCCGUAUCAGCUAGGAAACCCAGGGCAAGCUACUUAAACUCUCAGAGGCUCAGCUUUUUCAUGAGCAAACAGGAAAACAGGGCUAAUGAUUAGUCCUUGGCUUAAAAUACAUACCGCGUGUGAAAUUGCAGGUAUAUAAUAGAUUCACUAAAUGAGAGGGCGAGUUAUCAACACUUACUCUCCAAUGCGUCAUCACCCCCAACACUCCUGUGUAUUUCCUGCAAAUAAGGAUCUUCUCCUACAUGGUCAGUCCGAACAACCUUCAGUCACAACUGAGAAGGUCACAUGGUGCAUCACUGCCGCUCAGUCUCCCCAAGCCCAGUGAUUUCUUCACAAUUAGGGAUCUGAGACCCGCAGUAUGGCAGUGACAAGAUCCAAGUCUUGGGACACCUAGCCAGGAGGGAAGAAUUUGAGGGAGAGGUGGAAAAUAUGCGAGGCUGAACUGACCUUCAAGGACAAGAAGGCUGUGUUCAGAUAGACAGAGUUUGUCUUCUGGGAGAGGAGUGGGCUUAUCCAGGAUGAUCCCAAAGGCAGAUUGAGGACCAGUGGGAGGACAUCCUGAGAAAGCAGAUCCAGCUUUAGGCAAGGAAGGACUUCGUAACAGGCAGAGAGCCCAUGUUGGAAACAAGCAGCUCUGCAAGGUGUGGGCCCACUGUCUGACUCCCUGCGGGGCUGCUGCCUUGGAAGAGCCUCCUGCUUAGAGAGGUUCUCCUGCCGCCAGCUGUCUCUCCUGAGUCCUGAGCACCACAUCUCUGGACCGUCUGGAGCCUCCCCUCCCUUGGCUUACUGCUCCCACCACCCUCUCUCUCCACCUUGCAAGAGACACUCUCCCUCAUCCUGGGUCAUCACCCUCUUUAGAGGCGCCGCCUGGCCACGAGGGUGUGUUAGGAGUUACAUCCACUAACCUCUGGGGCUAGAAUGUUCCUCCUAAUCCCGGAUUACCAGCUUACAACCCCAAUGCCCACUUUCUCAAACAAGCCUCGUCUUUUUAAAGACAGGAUCUUGCUCUGUCACCUAGGCUGGAGUGCAAUGGCACACUCACGGCUCACUGCAGCGUCAAACUCCCAGGCUCAAGUGUUCCUCCUACCUCAGCCUCCUGAGUAGCUAGGACCACAGCACAGGCCCAGACACAAAGCAGAUGUGCAGUGGAGUGUGAAAGAGGCAGCCAACUCACUGGGGAGCUUCAGAGGGAGAUGGCCCAAAUUGCUGGGGCCUAAGAAUCUCCCGGAAUGAAGGAACAGUAGAAAGAACUGGAAGCCAAAUAUGGUGAUAGAGACUCUCAUCAAGGACACUGAGUAAACCAGAAACCUGCUUGGGCUCACGUUCCUUGUCUCUUCUUCUCAGAUCCAGGAAAGGAGCUGUCCAGGACAAUGAGGAUAGGCUGAGGAAAGACAGGCCACGGCCUUGCCUCUGUGCCAGCUCUCAUGGGCCAGGCAGAGUAUCCCAGGACAACUGCCUCCACAACCAGCUCCAUCCUUCAUCAGCAAUUCAGUACCUGAUUAACAAAUCUGUACCCCAGGAGGUUAUGCCAAGUCCAACUUCUUCCAGAGACCACAACAAUAAAUCCAAGCCACUGCUAAUGUCAUUUAUAAGCUGUGGGAUUAAAACAGAGAAGCAAUCAAUUAAUUAAAAUUAGCUCUUUAUUGAAACUAUAA
Molecule: long non-coding RNA, 1700 nt
Organism: Homo sapiens (human)
Lineage: Eukaryota; Metazoa; Chordata; Mammalia; Primates; Hominidae
Source: Ensembl